Non-coding RNA from Listeria floridensis FSL S10-1187, 71 nucleotides. NCBI's taxonomy places the organism in Bacteria, Bacillati, Bacillota, Bacilli, Caryophanales, Listeriaceae. The record is from Rfam.
GGCGCCAUAGCCAAGUGGUAAGGCAGAGGUCUGCAAAACCUUCAUCACCGGUUCAAAUCCGGUUGGCGCCU